GGCUUAGCUCAGUUGGUAGAGCACCUGACUUGUAAUCAGGGGGUCGCGAGUUCGAAUCCUGCAGCCGG
RNAcentral lists this transfer RNA (68 nucleotides) under zebrafish metagenome. It matches the Rfam family "tRNA". From Rfam's summary of the family: Transfer RNA (tRNA) molecules are approximately 80 nucleotides in length. Their secondary structure includes four short double-helical elements and three loops (D, anti-codon, and T loops). Further hydrogen bonds mediate the characteristic L-shaped molecular structure. tRNAs have two regions of fundamental functional importance: the anti-codon, which is responsible for specific mRNA codon recognition, and the 3' end, to which the tRNAs corresponding amino acid is attached (by aminoacyl-tRNA synthetases). tRNAs cope with the degeneracy of the genetic code in two manners: having more than one tRNA (with a specific anti-codon) for a particular amino acid; and 'wobble' base-pairing, i.e. permitting non-standard base-pairing at the 3rd anti-codon position. The record is from RNAcentral.